CGGGAUCUGUCCCGUGGGAAUGUAGCUUUGAUAUAAGCUGAACCGUGAA
Molecule: non-coding RNA, 49 nt
Organism: Methanolobus sp. T82-4
Lineage: Archaea; Methanobacteriati; Methanobacteriota; Methanomicrobia; Methanosarcinales; Methanosarcinaceae
Source: Rfam